UACGCAGGCCUUUGCCGUCUCUCGUCUCGAGCUUCUCGCUCACAACCAAUCACGUUCUUCUGGAGGUCACUAGUUCCUAAUUGAUUUCAGCUGCGUCUCCCCCGCCUCUCCUCAUAAAGCGCCCCCACCGUGACGGUUGUUAAUCGGUUUUUUUUGCGUUGGAUUGCGUGGGCUGAACAAUCCGGACAUCGUGGCCACCGACGUGGACCCCCUCGCCACCGGGACCCACGCACACCGACCACCACACUGGGAAGUGUCCUCUGCUCACUGUGGAAGCAGCAUGGAAGAACUGCAUCAACUCUGAUGGAAACGAGGGCCUCCACGCUGUUGAACACAAACUGUUGUAGGCCUACUACAAACCGAGGCGGUCCCACUCGGUUAAAGAUCUCGUGGUCAAUGCGGCAGAACGCUGGACCUGGACGUCACCUUCUGCAGAUACUUCACUGCCCUCAGGAAUCCACGGAUAACUUGAAACAUCCAGGAUGGAAACUUGUGGAAGGAAGAAAGGGGUCUGCUUUUGCUCAACCCAUAACUGAGCCCUUCUGUGGAAACCUGUCUGACUGACCCUACUGACUGGGGGCCUGUUGAUGUGUGUUUGGUUGGUCUGGAAGAAGGUUAGCUGCUUGUGAUCUGCAAGGUGGUCCUGGGUUAGAUGCGGCGUCUGACUUGCACACCACUCUCCCAAUUCUAUUCUUCUCUUUACUACUUUUCUACUUUCAAUACACUUGCUGCUGCUGCUGUUGACCGCUGGUGGUGCGGUUUUUAUUCGCGUAUGUUCUGUGCACUUUGCAUUUGUAUUUUAAUGAACAUGUUUACUGCCUGUUAGACCUCGGAUUGGCAAACCUAAACUCCUUCACUGGCAAAAUGUAGAUGCAAAUUAAAUGCCAAAAUUAACAUUUCAAUAUUCGUUUUGCGUAUUUCACCAAUAGCUUCGGAACUAGACGGACCUCGUAUAUAAUUUGCUCUUCAAAGAUGCGGUCAGGCGCCCCUCCGUUAUAUAACGUUUUCUGCCCGGUACGAAAUAGACUGACCAAUAGCAACCCUUCAGGCUAUCUAAUGUGAGGUUGGAUAUACGCAACAUGUAGAGGUGUUUCAACAACAAAGAUGGAAGUUAGUGAGUGAACUAAAGACUGUAUAUGCUCACUAAAAGAACGGCUACUAAGAUUUUGAGGAAUAUGUAUUUCUGCAUCACCCGUUCCAAUGCUAUGGUUAGUCGAGGCCUAUCAAUAGGGCGCGGGAUCCGCGUUGCAUUGUGGGACGUGUUGAUGCCAUGUUGAUGGCUAUGCGAACGUUAACAUAACUCUGACAUAACGUUGUUGAACGAAGAGAAGUAGCAGUAGAGUUGAGAAAGAAUAGCUAGAAAAAAUAUGUUAAAAUCCCGAAAAGGAUCUGGAAUUUACCGGGACACAUUAAAUAGAGAUGCCAGGGACCGGUAUGGUGACAACAUCAGCAUUAUUAAUAAUUUGGAUCCAUAUGAAGUUAGUAGUCGGAGUAGCGGCAGGUAGCGGUAAAGGAGGCCAUCAACAUGAUGACCCGGUGACCUUGGGUGUCUUGAAAGGCGCCUUUAAAUUAAAUGUAUUAUUAACAUGGCGGCCACGCAAAGUAAUUACGUCACGACACCCAAGCCCUAUAGCAUCGACCCAUUUUAGAUCGCGCCCUUUAGACACGCCCCUUGGAAAUUGAACAACGCACUUCAACGCAGAGGAUCCAGAAGGAUUUCACAACGAGUCCAUUGGAAGAUAUCGAGGAACAUGAACCAAUGAAGGAGAGUAACGUUUCCACUUGCUAUAGGAAUUUAGUGAAGCACUAAAUAGUUAAUAAUGAUAAAAUGUGGUCACCAUUUAUUGACUCGUUGGGUAAGACUUGCUUUACUAAUAUAACCGCGUUAAAACCGCAUUCAUUUACUUUUCUUGUGUAGUUUCCCACUAUUCAUUAAAUGUUUUAUAGAAGUAAAAAAGUAAUCAAUAGAACUAUACACAUUUGUACAACAAUUAAUCAUUAUACAGGAUUUGAACAUUUCCUAUUCGAGCUCAUGCUUCAUAAUAUUUCCAAGGAUUGCAGAGUACCAAAUGAUUUAUGAACAGUUGUUUUUGUUCAGGAGCGGAUUGUACUCCCAGAGGCUUCAACAGAGCGGGUCUGGAGCUGGGAGCUGCAGGUGGAUGGUGGCCAGGAGCCGUUCAGUCCUACAGGAACAGACGGUAGAGGUGAUGGAGGCGGUCUUCUGGAGGUCCGUGGCGUCGUCUGGAGGUCCGUGGCGGUCGUCUGGAGGUGCUCGCCGUGAGGUCCGUGGCGGUCGUCUGGAGGCGCUCGCCGUGAGGUCCGUGGCGUCGUCUGGAGGCGCUCGCCGUGAGGUCCAUGGCGGUCGUCUGGAGGUCCGUGGCGGUCGUCUGGAGGCGCUCGCCGUGAGGUCCGUGGCGGUCGUCUGGAGGUGCUCGCCGUGAGGUCCGUGGCGGUCGUCUGGAGGCGCUCGCUGCAGGCGGAGGGAAGGCCGGGAGCCUUGCAGCCCAACGGAUGCAGAACGAAGGACUGAGGCGCAGGUCCUGGAGGCAGAGGCCAGCCUGGAGGCGGCGGUGGCCUGGAGGUCCUGGAGGCGUCCAACCUGGAAGGGGCGGCAUGGAGGGCCAGGUGGCGGCUCCUCAUCCAAAGGGCGUCCUGGAGGGCCCGGCGGCGGCGUCCUGGAGGGCCCGGUGGCGGCCUGGAGGGCCCGGCGGCGGCGGCGUCCUGGAGGGCCCGGCGGCGGCGGCGUCCUGGAGGGCCCGACGGCGGCGGCUCCUCAUCCAGUUAAGCUAAACUCUUCUCCAGUGCAUCAUGAACGGGGAGGAAUGUCCGGGGUGCAAAUAGAACGUGUGUCACGUUUCAGAAGAAAUGAGGCGACGUUGCGGAGGUCCAGGCGGUCGGCCCGGUGGAGGUCCUGGAGGAGACGGUCCCGGCGGUGGAGGUCCUGGAGGAGACGGUCCCGGCGCUGGAGGUCCAGGCGGUUGGCCCGGUGGAGGUCCUGGAGGAGACGGUCCCGGCGGUGGAGUCCUGGAGGAGACGGUCCCGGCGGUGGAGGUCCAGGCGGUUGGCCCGGUGGAGGUCCUGGAGGAGACGGUCCCGGCGGUGGUGGUCCUGGAGGAGACGGUCCCGGCGGUGGAGGUCCUGGAGGAGACGGUCCCGGCGGUGGAGGACGGUUGGGGGAUCCGGCGGUGGAGGUCCGGAGGCGGCUCGUGAUUAGACCAACCAGCUCCUCAUCCAUGGAAGGAUUGAAGGAGUCACUGGGAUGGAGAUCACUGCUCAGGGGCUGACGACCACUCAUCUUUCCGGAGAAGCGUCCUCAAGGUGCAGGCGGUCAAACCUCCACCUCUUUGAAGACACCAAGCAGCUUGAUGACUGACUGGUUCUUUAUACUCAAGACCUCGUCCCGGAGCAGAGGACGGACCUAAGGCCCGCAGUGCAGCCGACUAGAGACUCCAUGUGGAACCGAGAAUAAGAUCUGACUUCAUCCAAUCAGCGGGAGGUCCUUGAACAAGAGCCAAUGGCUGAAGGUGCUCAAACGCAUUCUUUUGACUCCCUCCUCUACUAUUGCUGUAAUCAAGCUGGAUGACUAUUUUGCUCUUUCUACUGACAAAAUCAAGUCUGCCACCUGGAGGCUGAUGAGGGCGUAGUAACUCGGGGUUCAAUAAUGUUGACCUCUCCUUCAGGCGACUUAAAGGGAGACCAGAUGUGCGGCAGCUGGGUGUCACGGUGCAGAGACCCAACGCUGUACUGAACUACACCAGUGUGUCCUACUCCCAUAAACCCUGAGGAUCCCUGGAUGGCUACACCAGCACAUUAAUCCACACCCAACAUCCACACACAGUGCACACUCUAUAGAGCUCGUAAGUCCGCCCCUUACGGCGGGACCUCGUGAGAUCGUAAGAUAUGACUGGGUUUCAAUGGAGAGAAAGUAAUUAUUUUCUCCAUUUUAUGUUGCACCACAUUUUGGGGGAAGAAUGUUUGAAUCAAUCUGUCAUUUAUUUCUGUACUCCAUAUCUGUAAUCCCAGCUGUUGUAUUUUAACACGGUAGCUGGGAACCCUCUUUAUAGGGCGCGACUAGAGGGACGAGGCUGGAAGCAAACCUGAGCCUGGAUCUUAACCUUCUUUCUAAACCUAAUGCCGCAUUUUAACCGCAAAUAAAGUGAGGCUUAAAGUAACUUGACUCCCUUACCUAAACUCGCUUGUCUAAACUCGCUUGCAUAAAACCUAAACUCGCUUGCAUAAAACCUGAACUGGCUUGGCUAAACUCGCGUCGCUUCCCUAAUACCUGAACUUGCUUGCCUAAACUCCCUUGUCUAAACUCGCUUGCAUAAAACCUAAACUCGCUUGCAUAAAACCUGAACUUGCUUGGCUAAACUCGCGUCGCUUCCCUAAUACCUGAACUCGCUUGCCUAAACUCGCUUGCCUAAACUCGCUUGCAUAAAACCUAAACUCGCUUGCAUAAAACCUGAACUCGCUUGGCUAAACUCGCGUCGCUUCCCUAAUACCGGAACUCGCUUGCCUAAACUCGCUUGCCUGAACUCGCUUGCAUAAAACCUAAACUCGCUUAGCUUGACUCGCUUGUCGGUACUCGCUUGCAUAAAACCUAAACUCGCUUGCAUAAAACCUAAACUCGCUUGGCUUGAUUCGCUUGCCUGUACUCGCUUGGCUAAACUCGCUUGCCUAAAACCUAAACUUGCUUGUCCAAACAUGUUACACAAAGUUAACCAUCCAUAAUCUUUAACCCAAACCAGACUUGUCCCUGGGUCGCUCCACUUUAAUUUAGAAGUUUCUUCUUUUACCUCAUCUGCGUUUUGAGUUUCAUUCUUUGAGGGCUUGAAGUGCUUUGGAGGAUAUUUGAACCUUUUGUUUGCCGCAUCAAUAAACAUGCUUUAUCUUUACCCAUUUUGUUUUGUAUUGCAUUUCUAUGUGUAAUCCGGCCAAAUGUUCAGUGUCCUUGCAUGUAAUGUCUAUGGUCUGACGAUAAUCUGACCUCUUCAUGAAGCAGAAUGUGUGUGAAUGUUGUCCCGUGAGCUCCAGGCUCUCUGUGGGCCUGUCAACGUCUCUUUAGCAAAAGGUUGGAGAGUGAAAUUCAUUUUUGUGCCAUUUUCAUGUGUUCCUGAGUAUUUCAGACCUGUGGUGUUUCACAUGAGACCUUAAUGGGAACUUUUCUUUUUCUGCCUGCAGACGUAAUGCCAUCACUGUUGAUCCCAAUAUUGAUCAUUAACCACCUCAUUCUUUGGGAUUACAAAUCAAGUAAUUUAUGAGCAUAUUUGCAAAUGCCUCAAUAUCAGAUUGUGUAAAAACGAAUGAAAUGUAACCUGCUUGAUUUAAAGAAAUUAAAACAUCCAAAUAUUUUAAA
Long non-coding RNA from Gadus morhua (Atlantic cod), 5356 nucleotides. RefSeq lists it as uncharacterized. The record is from RefSeq and is a predicted model, not a curated record. Lineage: Eukaryota; Metazoa; Chordata; Actinopteri; Gadiformes; Gadidae. The transcript has 10 exons.